This 276-nucleotide ribosomal RNA is filed under the name uncultured bacterium. RNAcentral's name for it is "partial 16S ribosomal RNA". It matches the Rfam family "Bacterial small subunit ribosomal RNA", at positions 29 to 334 of the family's 1533-position model. The record is from RNAcentral.
AACGAACGCUGGCGGCAUGCCUAACACAUGCAAGUCGAACGGCUCUUCGGAGCAGUGGCGCACGGGUGAGUAACGCGUGGGAACCUACCCCGAGGUUCGGAAUAACGGCUGGAAACGGCCGCUAAUACCGGAUGUGUCCUGAGGGGCAAAGGCUUGCCGCCUUGGGAGGGGCCCGCGUCCGAUUAGCUUGUUGGUGGGGUAACGGCCUACCAAGGCGACGAUCGGUAGCUGGUCUGAGAGGAUGAUCAGCCACACUGGGACUGAGACACGGCCCAG